RNAcentral lists this ribosomal RNA (314 nucleotides) under uncultured bacterium. RNAcentral describes it as "bacterial SSU rRNA". It matches the Rfam family "Bacterial small subunit ribosomal RNA", at positions 28 to 335 of the family's 1533-position model. The record is from RNAcentral.
GAUGAACGCUAGCGGCAGGCUUAAUACAUGCAAGUCGUGGGGCAGCAGGUUUGUAGCAAUACAGAUGCUGGCGACCGGCAAACGGGUGCGGAACACGUACAGAACCUUCCUUUGAGCGGGGAAUAGCCCAGAGAAAUUUGGAUUAAAUACCCCAUAGUAUAAUGAAGUGGCAUCACUUUAUAUUAAGAUUAUCACUCGAAGAUGGCUGUGCGGCUGAUUAGGGUAGUUGGCGGGGUUAAAGGCCCACCAAGCCUGCGAUCAGUAACUGGUGUGAGAGCACGACCAGUCACACGGGCACUGAGACACGGGCCCGA